Non-coding RNA from Pelobates cultripes (western spadefoot toad), 237 nucleotides. Lineage: Eukaryota; Metazoa; Chordata; Amphibia; Anura; Pelobatidae. The record is from the annotation of a GenBank genome assembly.
UGUACAUUGGGGGCACUGUCGUACUCAGGACAUGUUGCUGAACACAUAUUGGGGUGCUCUUUGUCAGUAACACAUAACCGGAACUGAGAAUCCAUGCCUAAAGUACAAUGUGAGAGAAAAAUAACACAAAAAAAUUACUACCCAAAAGGUUGACUAAGACUGGUGGUAGAAUUAGUGCAUGGAAAAUGUUAAAAUACCACCAUUUGAAAUAUCCUAGGGUGUCUAAUUUUCAAAAAU